GCGGAUGUAGCUCAGCUGGUAGAGUGCUUGCCUAACGUGCAGGAGGCUCAAGUUCAGUUCCCGGCACCAGCU
Molecule: transfer RNA, 72 nt
Filed under: Mus musculus (house mouse)
Lineage: Eukaryota; Metazoa; Chordata; Mammalia; Rodentia; Muridae
Rfam family: tRNA
About the family: Transfer RNA (tRNA) molecules are approximately 80 nucleotides in length. Their secondary structure includes four short double-helical elements and three loops (D, anti-codon, and T loops). Further hydrogen bonds mediate the characteristic L-shaped molecular structure. tRNAs have two regions of fundamental functional importance: the anti-codon, which is responsible for specific mRNA codon recognition, and the 3' end, to which the tRNAs corresponding amino acid is attached (by aminoacyl-tRNA synthetases). tRNAs cope with the degeneracy of the genetic code in two manners: having more than one tRNA (with a specific anti-codon) for a particular amino acid; and 'wobble' base-pairing, i.e. permitting non-standard base-pairing at the 3rd anti-codon position.
Source: Rfam by way of RNAcentral